ACGUAUGGGGCGAGCGUUGUUCGGAGUUAUUGGGCGUAAAGGGCGUGUAGGCGGCUCGACAAGUCUGGUGUGAAAGCGCAGGGCUCAACCCUGCGUAGGCGCUGGAAACUGUCGGGCUUGAGUUUCGAGGGGGAAGCUGGAAUUCCUGGUGUAGGGGUGAAAUCUGUAGAUAUCAGGAAGAACACCGGUGGCGAAGGCGAGCUUCUACUCGUGAACUGACGCUGAGGCGCGAAAGCGUGGGGAGCAAACAGGAUUAGAUACCCUGGUAGUCCACGCUGUAAACGAUGUGCACUAGGCGUGGGGCGCAGUGAGCGCUCUGUGCCGUAGCUAACGUGUUAAGUGCACCGCCUGGGGAGUAUGCUCGCAAGGGUG
RNAcentral lists this ribosomal RNA (372 nucleotides) under uncultured bacterium. RNAcentral's name for it is "bacterial SSU rRNA". It matches the Rfam family "Bacterial small subunit ribosomal RNA", at positions 525 to 896 of the family's 1533-position model. The record is from RNAcentral.